Molecule: long non-coding RNA, 268 nt
Filed under: Salvia miltiorrhiza (redroot sage)
Lineage: Eukaryota; Viridiplantae; Streptophyta; Magnoliopsida; Lamiales; Lamiaceae
Description: long non-coding RNA (SMIL_LNC003658)
Source: RNAcentral
GAAAAGCCAUGAAAAGGAAAAGGGUCAAAAGAAGCUUUCGUUAUGGUCUCUUUUGAAUGAUUGAAUUGAUAUAUUGCCAAACUUUUUGUGUUAGAAAGCUAAGGGCUAACUUCAUUUCAACUUCCAAAAUUGCCUGCAAGCUGUCUAGCUUUUGGGAUUCUUACAAAAAAAAAAAANAAAAAAAAAAAAAACCUAAAACAAAAGCAAUGAACCAAAGAUAUUUACAAUUAUGUUGGGUCCCAUCCAACUUGUACUUAGCAACUACGGA